This is a non-coding RNA of Delphinapterus leucas (beluga whale), 632 nucleotides long. Lineage: Eukaryota; Metazoa; Chordata; Mammalia; Artiodactyla; Monodontidae. The record is from RefSeq and is a predicted model, not a curated record.
AAUUCGUUGUGAUAAUUGCAAGAAUAAGCCCAGAUGGAAUUCCCAAAAUCAUCUGGGAAAACUUGAAGGGAAGCUAGAGUUCCCUCAAGAGUUGUGGGGAUGUAUCUUUCAUAGCUGAUGUUUUGUCCUAUUCUCAUUUCAAAGGCUGGCUUGCCUUUGAGAAACAGGUUACAGAUAGUUUUCUGCACAGAGAGAACCCAUAUCAGAACACAAUGUUUUGAUGAAGACUUCUGUUUCAUGUCUCCUGAAAUGUACUGAUGCUUUUUGAUAGUAAGUGAGAGCAAACCAAGAAAAAAUGCACAUUGUGCAUUAAGUCAUCUCGUAAGUCUUUCAAGAACACUAUUUGAGAAAUGUUGAUUUCCACAUUGCUAUACCCUUUGGCACACUGCGAUGUAUUAACUGUUUCAGAAGCAGAUUGUGAAACUCAUUCUAGAGAAAGAGUGAAGAAAUACAUAAGUUGUCUCUAAAGGCUUGUCCUUACACUGUAGUGAAGCUUUGGAAAUGAAGCUGACAGUAUGAAGAGGACACAUAUCGAGAUCUUUUCCAGACUUUCAUUGUAUCAAGAAUAGAGGGACUUCCCUGGUGGCGCAGUGGUUAAGAAUCUGCCUGCCAAUGCAGGGGACAUGGGUUCG